Molecule: long non-coding RNA, 839 nt
Filed under: Dromaius novaehollandiae (emu)
Lineage: Eukaryota; Metazoa; Chordata; Aves; Casuariiformes; Dromaiidae
Description: lncRNA (ENSDNVG00000007415.1)
Source: RNAcentral
GUGAACGUGUGGGGGGGCAUCCAGAAAAGAUGAUCGCAAGGGUCUGGCUUGCCCAAGGCGUUAGGCAGCUCAGCCUCUCUGCAUCUCCUUGCAGGUGCCUCUGAACCAUGGUUGGGAAGUCACAGAGACGCUGCCCUUUAAUCUCUCUGUAGAGGAGGUCUGCGCUGGUGGUAAUUUGAAUAGCUGUAGCCUGCAGUAAUACCUGUAGCCCCUGUCAGUGGCCAGACUAGCGAGGCUUGUAUCCCGUACACCUCCUGUGCUGAUUCGCUGAGGCCUGAUUGAAGUGAAGGGUUUGCCUGUCCAGUUAAAAAUAGCAAGAGCCUCUUGUAACUUGAGAUGAGCCCUAAAUACUUUUCUUCCCAGCUUUCUAGUUGCACUGUUAACCCAUGGGACUUUACAUGUCUCCCUUCUUCAGUAACACAGUAAUGAGGGACAGGGGUGACAAGAUGGUAGCACCAAAGGUUUCCUUCCACAAGCCAGUCACUGCUAACUGCCAGGAAAUAUCUGAUCUAAGGUUUUUUCCACUGUAAAAUUCUCCCCGAAAUAAAAAGAGAAGUAGCCUCUUCACRUACAGUGAAAAUUUAGAAGUGGAGCUGCAGGCUGCCAUGGAGACAGGGCUCUGUUUGCAAUCUUCUUGUCUUUUAUUGUCUCUUCUCCUCUCCCAAGCAGCUGAAAAGCAGCCAGGAGUUGCUGUGUGCGAGGUCCUGCCCUUUACACCUCCCGUCCCCAGCCGGCCGACGCUGCCCAGCCUGCCCAUCCUCCCGGCACCUCGAUCGAUGAAGCAACACUGGAAGUGCGAGGCGAGGCUGGGGAGAGGCGAUGAACCCCUGCAGCUCUCC